AUGUCUACAAAGCAGAGUCUAAACAACCACACCGGACCAGAACGCCAUCGAUGUUAUUGUUUCCUGUAUGCUUCAUAUAUGACUCCGGCAAUUCACACUGGAACUGAAAGGGAAAUUCAUGUAGCGCAGUUUGAAUGA
RNAcentral lists this ribosomal RNA (138 nucleotides) under Triticum aestivum (bread wheat). Its description in RNAcentral is "partial small subunit ribosomal RNA". The record is from RNAcentral. Lineage: Eukaryota; Viridiplantae; Streptophyta; Magnoliopsida; Poales; Poaceae.